GCAUGCGGGUGCUAUACAUGCAAGUCGUGCGGACCUUUUAAAAGCUUGCUUUUAAAAGGUUAGCGGCGGACGGGUGAGUAACACGUGGGCAACCUGCCUGUAAGACUGGGAUAACGCCGGGAAACCGGGGCUAAUACCGGAUAGUUUUUUCCUCCGCAUGGAGGAAAAAGGAAAGGCGGCUUCGGCUGCCACUUACAGAUGGGCCCGCGGCGCAUUAGCUAGUUGGCGGGGUAACGGCCCACCAAGGCAACGAUGCGUAGCCGACCUGAGAGGGUGAUCGGCCACAUUGGGACUGAGACACGGCCCAAACUCCUACGGGAGGCAGCAGUAGGGAAUCUUCCGCAAUGGACGAAAGUCUGACGGAGCAACGCCGCGUGAGUGAAGAAGGCCUUCGGGUCGUAAAACUCUGUUGCCGGGGAAGAACAAGUGCCGUUCGAACAGGGCGGCGCCUUGACGGUACCCGGCCAGAAAGCCACGGCUAACUACGUGCCAGCAGCCGCGGUAAUACGUAGGUGGCAAGCGUUGUCCGGAAUUAUUGGGCGUAAAGCGCGCGCAGGCGGCUUCUUAAGUCUGAUGUGAAAUCUUGCGGCUCAACCCGCAAGCGGUCAUUGGAAACUGGGAGGCUUGAGUGCAGAAGAGGAGAGUGGAAUUCCACGUGUAGCGGUGAAAUGCGUAGAGAUGUGGAGGAACACCAGUGGCGAAGGCGGCUCUCUGGUCUGUAACUGACGCUGAGGCGCGAAAGCGUGGGGAGCAAACAGGAUUAGAUACCCUGGUAGUCCACGCCGUAAACGAUGAGUGCUAAGUGUUAGAGGGUUUCCGCCCUUUAGUGCUGCAGCUAACGCAUUAAGCACUCCGCCUGGGGAGUACGGCCGCAAGGCUGAAACUCAAAGGAAUUGACGGGGGCCCGCACAAGCGGUGGAGCAUGUGGUUUAAUUCGAAGCAACGCGAAGAACCUUACCAGGUCUUGACAUCCUCUGACCUCCCUGGAGACAGGGCCUUCCCCUUCGGGGGACAGAGUGACAGGUGGUGCAUGGUUGUCGUCAGCUCGUGUCGUGAGAUGUUGGGUUAAGUCCCGCAACGAGCGCAACCCUUGACCUUAGUUGCCAGCAUUCAGUUGGGCACUCUAAGGUGACUGCCGGUGACAAACCGGAGGAAGGUGGGGAUGACGUCAAAUCAUCAUGCCCCUUAUGACCUGGGCUACACACGUGCUACAAUGGAUGGUACAAAGGGCUGCGAGACCGCGAGGUUAAGCCAAUCCCAGAAAACCAUUCCCAGUUCGGAUUGCAGGCUGCAACCCGCCUGCAUGAAGCCGGAAUCGCUAGUAAUCGCGGAUCAGCAUGCCGCGGUGAAUACGUUCCCGGGCCUUGUACACACCGCCCGUCACACCACGAGAGUUUGUAACACCCGAAGUCGGUGAGGUAACCUUACGGAGCCAGCCGCCGAAGGUGACAGAGG
This 1455-nucleotide ribosomal RNA is filed under the name Heyndrickxia coagulans. RNAcentral's name for it is "bacterial SSU rRNA". It matches the Rfam family "Bacterial small subunit ribosomal RNA". The record is from RNAcentral. Lineage: Bacteria; Bacillati; Bacillota; Bacilli; Caryophanales; Bacillaceae.